CCUGGUGGUUCAGAGGUUAAAGCAUCUGCCUGGAAUGCAGAAGACCGGGGUUCGAUCCCUGGAUCAGGA
Molecule: transfer RNA, 69 nt
Filed under: Bos taurus (domestic cattle)
Lineage: Eukaryota; Metazoa; Chordata; Mammalia; Artiodactyla; Bovidae
Also listed under: 5 other names
Rfam family: tRNA
About the family: Transfer RNA (tRNA) molecules are approximately 80 nucleotides in length.
Source: Rfam by way of RNAcentral